Molecule: long non-coding RNA, 3254 nt
Filed under: Canis lupus familiaris (dog)
Lineage: Eukaryota; Metazoa; Chordata; Mammalia; Carnivora; Canidae
Description: lncRNA (ENSCAFG00030004799.1)
Source: RNAcentral
CCAAUAGACUUCUGUGAUAACUUUCCUGGACAGCAGUGGUGAAAGGAAGAAAGAAGAGCAGCCUGCCUCCUGGGAAAUAACACUCUAUCACUCCCACUGUUUAGAAUCACCGGCAUAAGGUGACUAUGCAGAGUAACUUUUAGUUGGUUUUAUUGUUGUUGUUAAACCCUCUAUAGACAAUGCUUCCCUUUAUUGCCAGCAUCUAGGGCCUAUUGCUCUCACUUUCCUGCUCUUGAUAAACCAUCACCAGACCUGCCCAGAUAAUCAGCUCAUAGCAGGAACUGCAUUAAUAAUUUCCCAGGAGGCUUCUCAGUGGCGAUGCAAAUAGUUUUACCAAGACUCAUCCACAAGUGAGCACACAUGCCCAGAUAUGCUUGUUAAGAAAAAUAAUCCAGAACUUGUACAAGAGAGUACACAUAGUCUUUCAAAGACAUACUGGGGUAUAGUUUAACAAGCCCAUCCAAAGACUAUUUAACUGUCUGUGGGAAUGUACCUUUUAUGGCUCUGCUCUUCUACUAUUAAUUAAAUACCCAGACUCCGUGAAGUUACAUGUUAACUUGCAGGUUUUGUCUAGCUGAGAUGCAAAUAAUUCAUGUCCAGUAGAAAAGAUAACCACUUUAAGGCAUAUACUUAGCAGUAUUAUUAUAACUUUCCUUCUUAAAUGCCUAUAAAUACCCAGUUCCUCAAAAUAUUCUUUUAAUCAAAUUUAUCAUCUUAGUGGGGUCAUAAUUAAUGAGUUAAUACAACUUUGACACCAGUCAAAAUGCACCAAUUUGCAAUAGAAGAAUGUGCUGCAGUCACAUCCCAAUUUUUAUAGUGUGUGGCUCAUGUCCACUAGAACUGCUCAAUGUUCUGAAGUUUGGUAGAUGAAGACACAGAUAUUUCUUCUGUUGAAGAUAUUUCUACUUCUUCUCUCCUUCUCACUCCAGCCCUUGUCAAUGCCUCUUCAGAUCAAUGUUUCCCGGUCAGGGCAGGAAAGAGCAACAGAAGAGGGAAAGGCUGUGGCAGGCAUCGGCUCCAGUUCCAGACAGGAAGUUGGCCCGGACACACACCAGCCACAUCUGUGCUGUGGUUCCUACAGCCUCCACCACCGACUGCAUCUCACUUCCCUCCAUAGGCCUGCCCUGGACUCAGAGCACCUAGAAGGCUGCCCUGCUUGGAAGCAGCCUUUGUGCAACCCAGGAUCUCUCUAGGCCAAGAAAACAAAAGCCUUUCCGGUACUGCUGAUGCGGUGCUUCAGGAGCAUCCUGUCUGCCUGGACUCAUUCAGAAGCCCUUCUUCUCUGUGUGGCUCAACUAUGGGACAUCUGAUGGUGGCUCGGCUCACAUGUAUGUUUGAUUUCCUCCGUGGAAGACGAAAAAGGAACCAGACCAAAUGCAAUUUUAAAAAGUAGUGUAACACUUCUGGCAUGGACCUGGAAAAUCUAGAAUCCAAUCUUAGCUCUGCUGCCACCUGACUGCGCACCUCUCGGCAAAUUACUUCGCUUCUCUGGGCCCAAGUUUGCUUAUCUUUAGAGUGGAGAGGUGGGGCGGUGCUAUAGGAUUCCUCUAGCUCUCACAUGUCAAGAUCCUUUUUAAACAUACAUUUUCGUUUUUUACAACAGAGGAAAAGAAGAUACAUCUAACACUUUUCUGUUCACCACAAAGUCUAAAGCAUCAGAACUCACCAAUAUUCCUUUGUAUCAAAUUUCUCUGUGUUGAUUGUCUAACCUGGUUUCAAUCCUCUUUCCCCCUCACAGGGGGAACAGCUAUUCUAAGUAUAGUGUUUAUUAUUCUUUGCAUUUCUUUAUACUUUCAUGAUAGACAUUUGUACUGGUAAGCAAUAUAUGGUACUGUCAUGCCUCUUUUAACUAGAGGUAUAUAGACCGUACUUUAGUCUAUGUAUAGAGUCUAUGUAUAUUCUUUUGCACAUGGGAUUUUUUUUGUUUGAAAUUAUGUACAUGAGAGUCUUAUAUGCUGGCAGAAUUUUAUUAAUUUUUCUGUGUUAUAAGAUAGCUUAUUAAGAAUAUGCUGAAUAUAUGUAUGGAUUAUCCAGCUUUCCUUUGAUUUGUUAUUAUAAACAUCAAUAUUUUGGUAUAUGUGGCUUUAUAUACAAAGCUAUAUUCUUAGGGGUAUAUACCUGGGAAUGGAAUUCUGGUCUCAAGGUGCAUGCAUGUCCAACUUUAGUAGACCACCUUUCCGAAUCAUUCUCUAAACUGGUUGUGUCCUUUACAGUCCCACCAGGAAGAUACUAGAGUACAAGAAUCUAGAAUGUCAGGUCCCGCUGUGUUCUCCUGAUAAGGCAAUGUGGUCCUCCCUUCAUGGGAGGUGAAUAUCUUGUUUGAUGUAUAGGGUGGCAGUGAUGGGAAAGGGGAAAGAAUGAAUAUGAUUAAUUGUUUCCACAAAUCUGUUUGAGUGUCUACUAUGUACCAGGCAUGAGGAAGUGCUGGGGAUCAAGAGACACCUGCCUUUGUGCAAAAGGUGCACAUAACUAAGAGUCAGAAUGGAUUAGAUCCCAGGCAUAACUGCAAAUGUCCUAUUGAUUCUCCUAUUUGACCCCUCCCCACCAACGUUGGUCCUUAAGCCAGUCUGCAUGCUAGACUCACAAUGGAAUCCAGUGAGGAUGGGAAAUGCAAAGCAGUGUACCUGCCUUUCAGAUUGAAAAGGCCUUAAAUCCCUGAGGAGGAAAUUGUUCUUUAAAGCUCUCCUAUCUGGAAAAACUUUUAAAUUCUUGGGAAGAGUUCUUAUGUCUACUCCCCUUUCUUUUUGUGUCUUUCAAGAGAAUUCAUGUUUGAUUAUGGAUGUCUGGGUUCUGGUCUCUGAGAAACAAUAGAUAUCCUAACACACAGAGAUACGAAACUAUGCAGGUGCUGAGUAAUAUUGAGUUCUGAAGAGCUGGAGUCUUGUGUGUUUUUCCCCCCCCAUAACAUCUUGAAAGUAUUUUCUCUGUGUCAACUACAAAUUCUAAUCCCAAAAGAAAGAUCUUGAUAUUUGGAAUAUACAAUGUGCCUUUUUUCUCACAGCAAGGUGUGCAAUUAAUUCCUUAUGUUCUCGAAUAAAAUGGUGGAGCAGAAAGUGUCUCCAGGAUCCCCAGAGCCUCCAGGCACACAAUAAACAUCUUUUCGUUUUCAGAAGUGAUCACUGCAUACCUCAGCCUGCAGGAGGAUGAGUAGCUAGGAUUUCUUUCAAUUUUUUUUCCCAAAGAGAGAGUAAAUGAAGUCAUCAAGCCAUCUGGUCGACUUUUAGCAAUCAUUCACUAUAUUCAUUUAUCAUAUC